CCCUGCAUGGUGUAGUGGUUUGAACGUUGGACUAGAAAUCUAGAGACCACGGUUUGGUUCCCCGUUCGGCCA
Non-coding RNA from Phrynosoma platyrhinos (Desert horned lizard), 72 nucleotides. The record is from the annotation of a GenBank genome assembly. Lineage: Eukaryota; Metazoa; Chordata; Lepidosauria; Squamata; Phrynosomatidae.